Molecule: long non-coding RNA, 2025 nt
Organism: Anser brachyrhynchus (Pink-footed goose)
Lineage: Eukaryota; Metazoa; Chordata; Aves; Anseriformes; Anatidae
Source: Ensembl
UGGAAAACUGGGCAGGCUGUGGCAACACACGCGUAGAAAAGGAGGCAGUUAUCUCCCUACAAAUCCCAUAGCAGGCAUAGGGAUCUGUACCACCAUGGGAGAAGGGAACAAAGAACAGCUGACUGUUAUUCUUCUGAUUGUAGCAGCUGAUAAAAAUGGAUGGAGAAGGGUUAGCAGUCAAGGAGAGUGUUAGCCAGCACAGAAUGUGCAGAGAUGCUCUCCCAGCAUAAUCUGCUCUCAGGAAAUGUUAGAUACAGCAGAAAACUCCUUUCCAUACCUGUGGGGAGGGGGAAAGGUAUUAACUCUGCUCUCCUGCCUUAAGUGAUUAAUGUGGCCAUGAAACAAACAUCCAUGAAGCAAGGCUAGAGAGAAUCAGUGCAGUUCUGUCAGGUCUUCUGGGCAGAAUCACUUCCUUUCAAAAAGGGAAAUGGGAUGCCUGUGAGUGGUCCUGCAGGGAGAGGGGCAGGAGCUGGCUCCUCUGCAAGGCAUGGCUGGGGAAUGUGCUGCAAACCUGGCCUUGGCUGCGUUAUCUGAGCAGGAUCCAGCACAUCCAGCCCUCGUUGGGAGCAAAGGGACACCCUCCUUCCCCUUGCCAGCCACGAACCCGCGCAGCCUGCUGCCUGCCCAAAGGAUACGGCGAUUUAGCAAGAAGCAGGAGCAAGCCUUGUCUCGUUCCCACGGCACGAAGCCACAGCACAGUGCGCGCGUGUGAUAGGAGCCCGAGGGCACCAGCAUGGCCAGCAGCCAAGCUGACCAGCGGACAGGGGACACGUCCAACCCACAGCUGUGCCAGACCGGUGCCAAGGGCGGUCACAGCUGCAGCAGCAAUGGCCGAGACACCCGGACCUUGCAUCCCCAGCGCAGAGGGACUUUUAUCAUGGGCCAGAGGAAGCCAGGGCUGCGCAGCUCAUCAUUGCUUGGCUCGAAGCAUGGCGAAGGAGCAUCGAGUGCCAAGCACGGGAUGUGGAGAUGCAUCUUCUCAGACCAGGAUUGAGAGCAGCAAACUCUGUUCCCAUGGUUACUGAGCAGCUACCCAUCAGGCCCCAUCUCACAUCACUAACUCUGCCACUUAAUUAACUGACUGCUCGUUAUUUCCCGAAAUGAGCUCCUCCAUCCUCCUGCUUGCCUGAAAUUCAGCUCUCAGAUGCUCUCCACAGAGCAGCCCGUCUGGCUUUAGUGCCCUGCUUCAUUUAAACCUCAUCUGCCACUCAGCAAGGGUUGGAAAGGGCUGGAAACCAGCCCCGGGACCGCGGGAGGGCUCCAAGGGGAAGUUUUUCUUUGGGGACACCAGCCACUUCCAGCUAGGAUGAAGUAAAUAGGAUCACAUCGGCACAGAGCCGUGUCUGAGCCCUUUUAUCACUGAGCCCUCGGCGCCUGCCUUGCUGCAGACUUCUGCUAGCGAAAGGUCACUGGGCCCCAUCCUUCCAUUAUCUGCACAGGAAUGCGCAUUGAGGGGUCAUUCCGGGAUGAGCUGGAGGGAAGGGAAUAAUUAGCUGCGUUCAUAAAAUAUUACUCAGUAUUGGCUGGUAUUUCUGCUGCGCCCUCAAACAAACGGGCUCACACUGCACCCGGCUCAUGCGCAGCACCCUGAGCCCUCCCUCAUUGUCCCAGGCCUGGUGGGAGGAAAGUUUUCGGUUUCCUCCUCAGGGAAGGACUCCAGAGCUACCUGUGCUCUGUUUCCUAUGUCUUUGCCCUUCUGUACCCAACCUUUUCUCCAGCAGCCUCCCUCCUGGACGAGCAGCCCUUCCCGUGCGGCUGCUAGCAGCUCUCCCUGACCCUUAAUCUCCCUGCUGCUGCUGCCUCACAUUAGCAUCCCUCUCUCUGUGAGGCUGAACAAAUCCACACAAAACAAGGGGGUUUAAAGAACUUGUCGAUUGAGUCAAACACUGGCACGCUCUGCCCGGCAGAUAAUUGCUUUGAGGAGCUGCUGCUUUCAGCUGCAGGCACUCGCGGGGCUCGGCUGCAGGAGGUGACCGGGGUGGGACAAGGGGUUUAACUCUCAUAGGUAGCUACAGAGGAGGUCCU